This 34-nucleotide ribosomal RNA is filed under the name Colletotrichum phormii. RNAcentral's name for it is "partial 28S ribosomal RNA". The record is from RNAcentral. RNAcentral also lists the same sequence under 9 other names. Lineage: Eukaryota; Fungi; Ascomycota; Sordariomycetes; Glomerellales; Glomerellaceae.
GUUGACCUCGGAUCAGGUAGGACUACCCGCUGAA